This 144-nucleotide ribosomal RNA is filed under the name uncultured Roseobacter sp. RNAcentral describes it as "partial 16S ribosomal RNA". It matches the Rfam family "Bacterial small subunit ribosomal RNA", at positions 655 to 798 of the family's 1533-position model. The record is from RNAcentral. Lineage: Bacteria; Pseudomonadati; Pseudomonadota; Alphaproteobacteria; Rhodobacterales; Roseobacteraceae.
GGGUGAGUGGAAUUCCAAGUGUAGAGGUGAAAUUCGUAGAUAUUUGGAGGAACACCAGUGGCGAAGGCGGCUCUCUGGCUCGAUACUGACGCUGAGGUGCGAAAGUGUGGGGAGCAAACAGGAUUAGAUACCCUGGUAGUCCAC